RNAcentral lists this ribosomal RNA (301 nucleotides) under uncultured bacterium. Its description in RNAcentral is "partial 16S ribosomal RNA". It matches the Rfam family "Bacterial small subunit ribosomal RNA", at positions 509 to 809 of the family's 1533-position model. The record is from RNAcentral.
CACCGCCACGGUAAUACGGAGGGAGCUAGCGUUGUUCGGAAUUACUGGGCGUAAAGCGCGCGUAGGCGGUUACUCAAGUCAGAGGUGAAAGCCCGGGGCUCAACCCCGGAACUGCCUUUGAAACUAGGUGACUAGAAUCUUGGAGAGGUCAGUGGAAUUCCGAGUGUAGAGGUGAAAUUCGUAGAUAUUCGGAAGAACACAGUGGCGAAGGCGACUGACUGGACAAGUAUUGACGCUGAGGUGCGAAAGCGUGGGGAGCAAACAGGAUUAGAUACCCGUGUAGUCCCUGUCUCUUAUACAC